UGGCGGUGAAACAAUGGAGAGGCUGGCGAGGGGAAGAGAGGGCGGCCCCGGGCGUGGGCGGAUCUUCGGGCGGAGAGCUGGAGAAUCUCCGUCGUCAGUCGUCACACGGGCUCUAUUCACUUCCUUCACGGUUCACGGCGGCGGCGGCGGCCUUCCUGAUCCGGUUCUACAAGCUGCGCAAUGGCUGCAGGUCCAACUCUUGCAAACAGUCUUGACUUGUUAUGUGCUAGUACUGCACUAUAGCUCGGAAUUAAAGUUUCCACAAUCUAGGCAGGGAAGAACCAAUUUCUUCACAAUUGGAUUACAUUUUGUGUUGUUCUACAUCAGACUGCAGAUUUUUUCUUUCUAAAAAAAAUACUGUUUAGUAAAAUUGGUGCCAAUAUAGAAGGGGAGCCAUCCUGUUCUUUCAGAUUCAGAUGCAUUGAAGUGUGAUUUAUUUCCUUUGUCCUGAACUUGGAAACGCUACAAAGGAAAAGCUUCCUAGCUGUUAGGUUCCUGAGUUGCUUGUCUUCUGACCUUCUGCAGAUUAACCAUUCUAACUUAUAAGAUUUUGCGGAGAACUGAGUGCCUUCGCAACAGCGUGUGAUUGGUUGAGCUUAUGAGAGGGAUUGGGGAAUCAGUUCACUGGCCUUUUGUCGAACAAGAAGACCUUGGUCCGAUGAGCACUCCAAGGGACAGUUCCAUAGCUUGUCUCAGUCCUGAAGAGGUGAGCUUGGUACUCUGAUAUUGGCGCUUCUGCCACCGUUUCGUUUGGUUAAUUUGUGUUCAUUGCUGGCUCUUUCUGAUGUGUUUAGAUUACAUCCGUGUGAGGUUGGUCUUUUGUGUUGAUAUCCUUUGAAUUUGCAUAUGUAAUAGGCUCAUUUACACAGACAUUUGUGUUUGUGUGUUCGUUAGUAAAAAGGAUCUUUUUUAAAGUUAUAUUAUAUUUGAAUUUAAGCCUUAAAUAAGUGAAGUAUUCUUUCUUGUU
RNAcentral lists this long non-coding RNA (967 nucleotides) under Triticum aestivum (bread wheat). Its description in RNAcentral is "long non-coding RNA (TAES_LNC023198)". The record is from RNAcentral. Lineage: Eukaryota; Viridiplantae; Streptophyta; Magnoliopsida; Poales; Poaceae.